GCACUGCUGAGGAGUCCCAAAAUAGGACGGAACGACCGUCUAGUGC
This is a non-coding RNA of Schistosoma margrebowiei, 46 nucleotides long. The record is from Rfam. NCBI's taxonomy places the organism in Eukaryota, Metazoa, Platyhelminthes, Trematoda, Strigeidida, Schistosomatidae.